RNAcentral lists this ribosomal RNA (430 nucleotides) under uncultured bacterium. Its description in RNAcentral is "partial 16S ribosomal RNA". It matches the Rfam family "Bacterial small subunit ribosomal RNA", at positions 354 to 796 of the family's 1533-position model. The record is from RNAcentral.
GUGGGGAAUAUUGCGCAAUGGGCGAAAGCCUGACGCAGCAACGCCGCGUGCGGGAUGACGGCCUUCGGGUUGUAAACCGCUUUCAGCAGGGACGAAGGGUUUCUGACGGUACCUGCAGAAGAAGCACCGGCUAACUACGUGCCAGCAGCCGCGGUGAUACGUAGGGUGCGAGCGUUGUCCGGAAUUAUUGGGCGUAAAGAGCUUGUAGGCGGUCCGUUGCGUCGGAAGUGAAAACUCGGGGCUUAACCCCGAGCCUGCUUUCGAUACGGGCGGACUUGAGGGAUGUAGGGGAGAACGGAAUUCCUGGUGGAGCGGUGGAAUGCGCAGAUAUCAGGAGGAACACCAGUGGCGAAGGCGGUUCUCUGGACAUUUCCUGACGCUGAGAAGCGAAAGCGUGGGGAGCAAACAGGAUUAGAAACCCCGGUAGUCC